GACAGAGGGUGCAAACGUUGUUCGGAAUUACUGGGCGUAAAGCGUGUGUAGGCGGCCGCGCAAGUCGGAUGUGAAAGCCCUGGGCUCAACUCAGGAAGUGCACCCGAUACUGCGUGGCUCGAGUACCGGAGAGGUUGGUGGAAUUCUCGGUGUAGAGGUGAAAUUCGUAGAUAUCGAGAGGAACACCUGCGGCGAAGGCGGGUAGCUGGGCCGACACUGACGCUGAGGCGCGAAAGCCAGGUAGCGAACGGG
This 252-nucleotide ribosomal RNA is filed under the name uncultured bacterium. RNAcentral describes it as "partial 16S ribosomal RNA". It matches the Rfam family "Bacterial small subunit ribosomal RNA", at positions 524 to 776 of the family's 1533-position model. The record is from RNAcentral.